GUGCUCGCUUCAGCAGCACAUAUACUAAAACUGGAACGAUACAGAGAAGAUUAGCACGGCCCUGGACAAGGACGACACGCAAAUCUGCGAAGCCUUGCAUGUUUUU
Small nuclear RNA from Octodon degus (degu), 106 nucleotides. The record is from Ensembl. NCBI's taxonomy places the organism in Eukaryota, Metazoa, Chordata, Mammalia, Rodentia, Octodontidae.